RNAcentral lists this ribosomal RNA (537 nucleotides) under Triticum aestivum (bread wheat). RNAcentral's name for it is "partial small subunit ribosomal RNA". Lineage: Eukaryota; Viridiplantae; Streptophyta; Magnoliopsida; Poales; Poaceae. The record is from RNAcentral.
AUGAUGGCAUUUUCUCAAAAGGAAAAAAAACAAUUGCGCAAAGGGAAUAUAAUCCAGGCCGAGCAUAUGCGCUGUGCCAAAAGUUGCAGAAUUAAUGAAGUACAGUACGACGCUAAGCAAAAGCAGAGUGAUAUUAGGAUCAAAGAAGUCGAUGUCCGCCUAGUUUCCCUUGACCUCAUGGAGUACUGGGCAUCAGGGUUCCUUCUUCACUUUCAUCAUUUCCUUCUUGUCCUCACAUUUGUACUUGUUGGCAUCACUCACCAUUCGAUCGAUCUCUUCUUUGCUCAGCCCACCCUGGUCGCUGGUGAUGGUGAUGCUGUUCUUGUUUCCAGUCUCCCUGUCCUCCGCCACCACCUUCAGGAUGCCGUUUGCUUCGAUUUCGAAAGUAACUCUGAUUUAUGGCACGCCCCUCGGCGCUGGGGGGACGCCAGUGAGCUUGAACAUGCCGAGCAGAUUGUUGUCCUUGGUCAACCCCGCUUCACCCUCGUACACUGGAAAGCGCACGACGGUCUGAUUGUCAUAUACCUGGUCGUGUAA